UACAGGGGGUGCAAACGUUGCUCGGAAUUAUUGGGCGUAAAGCGCGCGUAGGCGGCUACUUAAGUCGGAUGUGAAAGCCCCUGGCUCAACUGGGGAAGUGCACCCGAAACUGAGUGGCUUGAGGCCGGGAGAGGGUAGCGGAAUUCCCAGUGUAGCGGUGAAAUGCGUAGAGAUCGUAAGGAAGGCCAGUGGCGAAGGCGGGUCUCUGGACAGUUCCUGACACUGAGGCACGAAGGCCAGGGGAGCAAACGGG
This 253-nucleotide ribosomal RNA is filed under the name uncultured bacterium. RNAcentral describes it as "partial 16S ribosomal RNA". It matches the Rfam family "Bacterial small subunit ribosomal RNA", at positions 524 to 776 of the family's 1533-position model. The record is from RNAcentral.